This 563-nucleotide small RNA is filed under the name Pan troglodytes (chimpanzee). Its description in RNAcentral is "retained intron". Lineage: Eukaryota; Metazoa; Chordata; Mammalia; Primates; Hominidae. The record is from RNAcentral.
AUGUAUUUUUAAUGUGCUCCCCAAGAAGUCCUUACAUUCUGCUGCAUUGACAAACCUGUGGCCAAGUUUUAGGCCUAGGUUCUAAUUAAGCUUAAUUCUGGAGGCGAAGUCUCGGGGGGGGACACCCAGACCCUCCUCAGCCCUCAAGUCUCAUGGUAUUCCCCCCCGCCCCAACUCCAUUUAGUGACUCUGACAGUUGGCAGUGUGAACCUAGAGAUCCACAAUGGCUUCAUCCUCGGGAAGAUUCAGCUACCCAGGCCCAAGAUGGCCCCCGCAAAUGACACAUAUGAAAGCAUCUUCAGUCACUUCCGAGAGUAUGAGAUUGCCAUUCGCAAGGUGCCGGGAAACUUCACGUUCACACACAAGAAAGUAAAACAUGAAAACUUCAGCCUCCUAACCUCUGGAGAAGUGGGAGAGUUCUGUGUCCAGGUGAAACCAUCUGUCGCUUCCCGAAGUAACAAGGGGAUGUGGUCUAAAGAGGAGUGCGUCUCCCUCACCAGGCAGUGUGAGUCAGCUGAGCUGCUCUCAGCAUGGGGAGGGAGACUGGGAGGGCCUGGUGCAAU